CAUGUACUCCCUCCGUCCCAAAAUUCUUGUCUUACAUUUGUCUAGAUAUGAAUGUAUCUAGUCACGUCUUAGUAUUUUGAUACAUUCAUUUUUAGACAAACCUAAGAUAAGAAUUUUGGGACAGAGGGAGUAUUAU
RNAcentral lists this microRNA precursor (136 nucleotides) under Hordeum vulgare. Its description in RNAcentral is "microRNA MIR1122". It matches the Rfam family "MIR1120/MIR1122 microRNA precursor family". Lineage: Eukaryota; Viridiplantae; Streptophyta; Magnoliopsida; Poales; Poaceae. The record is from RNAcentral.